GCGGGAGUGGCGGAAUUGGUAGACGCUCCGGACUUAGGAUCCGGUGGGGCUAUUCCCCGUGGGGGUUCAAGUCCCCCCUCCCGCACCA
This 88-nucleotide transfer RNA is filed under the name Thermodesulfatator atlanticus. RNAcentral describes it as "tRNA-Leu". It matches the Rfam family "tRNA". From Rfam's summary of the family: Transfer RNA (tRNA) molecules are approximately 80 nucleotides in length. Lineage: Bacteria; Pseudomonadati; Thermodesulfobacteriota; Thermodesulfobacteria; Thermodesulfobacteriales; Thermodesulfatatoraceae. The record is from RNAcentral. RNAcentral also lists the same sequence under 3 other names.